CCCUUAGAUGUUCUGGGCUGCACGCGCGCUACAAUGAUAAACUCAACGAGUAUUUUUAUUAAUUUAAUAUUGCUGCAUAGGAAUGUGUGGCUAAUCUUAAACGUUUAUCGUGCUUGGGAUAGAUGAUUGCAAUUAUUUAUCUUGAACCAGGAAUUCCUAGUAAUCGUAUAUCAUCAGUGUGCGAUGAUUACGUCCCUGCCCCUUGUACACACCGCCCGUCGCUGCUACCGAUUGGAUGUCCGGUGAAAUCCUCGGAUAUUAUUGAAUACUUUAAACUUGUGUUAAAGUUCAUUGAUGGAAGUUGAUUAAACCUUAUCAUCUAGAGGAAGCAAAAGUCGUAACA
This 343-nucleotide ribosomal RNA is filed under the name uncultured eukaryote. RNAcentral's name for it is "partial 18S ribosomal RNA". It matches the Rfam family "Eukaryotic small subunit ribosomal RNA", at positions 1470 to 1796 of the family's 1831-position model. The record is from RNAcentral.